UUAAGCCAUGCAAGUCGAACGAGUUUAGGCUCGUGGCGUACGGCUCAGUAACACGUGGAUAACCUACCCUUAGGACCGGGAUAACCUUGGGAAACUGAGGACAAUACUGGAUAGGCAAUUUUUCCUGUAAUGGUUUUUUGUUUAAAUGUUUUUUCGCCUAAGGAUGGGUCUGCGGCCGAUUAGGUAAUUGGUUAGGUAAUGGCUUACCAAGCCGUUGAUCGGUACGGGUUGUGAGAGCAAGAGCCCGGAGAUGGAACCUGAGACAAGGUUCCAGGCCCUACGGGGUGCAGCAGGCGCGAAACCUCCGCAAUGUGAGAAAUCGCGACGGGGGGAUCCCAAGUGCCAUUCUUAACGGGAUGGCUUUUCAUUAGUGUAAAGAGCUUUUGGAAUAAGAGCUGGGCAAGACCGGUGCCAGCCGCCGCGGUAACACCGGCAGCUCUAGUGGUAGCAAUUUUUAUUGGGCCUAAAGCGUCCGUAGCCGGUUUAAUAAGUCUCUGGUGAAAUCCUGUAGCUUAACUGUGGGAAUUGCUGGAGAUACUAUUAGACUUGAGACCGGGAGAGGUUAGAGGUACUCCCAGGGUAGAGGUGAAAUUCUGUAAUCCUGGGAGGACCGCCUGUUGCGAAGGCGUCUAACUGGAACGGUUCUGACGGUGAGGGACGAAAGUUAGGGGCGCGAACCGGAUUAGAUACCCGGGUAGUCCUAACUGUAAACGAUGCGGACUUGGUGUUGGGGUGGCUUUGAGCUGCUCCAGUGCCGAAGGGAAGCUGUUAAGUCCGCCGCCUGGGAAGUACGGUCGCAAGACUGAAACUUAAAGGAAUUGGCGGGGGAGCACCACAACACGUGGAGCCUGCGGUUUAAUUGGAUUCAACGCCGGACAUCUCACCAGAGGCGACAGCUGAAUGAUAGCCAGGUUGAUGACUUUGCUUGGCUAGCUGAGAGGAGGUGCAUGGGCCA
This 955-nucleotide ribosomal RNA is filed under the name uncultured Methanobrevibacter sp. RNAcentral's name for it is "bacterial SSU rRNA". It matches the Rfam family "Archaeal small subunit ribosomal RNA", at positions 44 to 1001 of the family's 1478-position model. The record is from RNAcentral. Lineage: Archaea; Methanobacteriati; Methanobacteriota; Methanobacteria; Methanobacteriales; Methanobacteriaceae.